This 1372-nucleotide ribosomal RNA is filed under the name uncultured bacterium. RNAcentral's name for it is "bacterial SSU rRNA". It matches the Rfam family "Bacterial small subunit ribosomal RNA", at positions 28 to 1381 of the family's 1533-position model. The record is from RNAcentral.
GAUGAACGCUGGCGGCGUGCCUAAUACAUGCAAGUCGAGCGAACGGACGAGAAGCUUGCUUCUCUGAUGUUAGCGGCGGACGGGUGAGUAACACGUGGAUAACCUACCUAUAAGACUGGGAUAACUUCGGGAAACCGGAGCUAAUACCGGAUAAUAUUUUGAACCGCAUGGUUCAAAAGUGAAAGACGGUCUUGCUGUCACUUAUAGAUGGAUCCGCGCUGCAUUAGCUAGUUGGUAAGGUAACGGCUUACCAAGGCAACGAUGCAUAGCCGACCUGAGAGGGUGAUCGGCCACACUGGAACUGAGACACGGUCCAGACUCCUACGGGAGGCAGCAGUAGGGAAUCUUCCGCAAUGGGCGAAAGCCUGACGGAGCAACGCCGCGUGAGUGAUGAAGGUCUUCGGAUCGUAAAACUCUGUUAUUAGGGAAGAACAUAUGUGUAAGUAACUGUGCACAUCUUGACGGUACCUAAUCAGAAAGCCACGGCUAACUACGUGCCAGCAGCCGCGGUAAUACGUAGGUGGCAAGCGUUAUCCGGAAUUAUUGGGCGUAAAGCGCGCGUAGGCGGUUUUUUAAGUCUGAUGUGAAAGCCCACGGCUCAACCGUGGAGGGUCAUUGGAAACUGGAAAACUUGAGUGCAGAAGAGGAAAGUGGAAUUCCAUGUGUAGCGGUGAAAUGCGCAGAGAUAUGGAGGAACACCAGUGGCGAAGGCGACUUUCUGGUCUGUAACUGACGCUGAUGUGCGAAAGCGUGGGGAUCAAACAGGAUUAGAUACCCUGGUAGUCCACGCCGUAAACGAUGAGUGCUAAGUGUUAGGGGGUUUCCGCCCCUUAGUGCUGCAGCUAACGCAUUAAGCACUCCGCCUGGGGAGUACGACCGCAAGGUUGAAACUCAAAGGAAUUGACGGGGACCCGCACAAGCGGUGGAGCAUGUGGUUUAAUUCGAAGCAACGCGAAGAACCUUACCAAAUCUUGACAUCCUUUGACAACUCUAGAGAUAGAGCCUUCCCCUUCGGGGGACAAAGUGACAGGUGGUGCAUGGUUGUCGUCAGCUCGUGUCGUGAGAUGUUGGGUUAAGUCCCGCAACGAGCGCAACCCUUAAGCUUAGUUGCCAUCAUUAAGCUGGGCACUCUAAGUUGACUGCCGGUGACAAACCGGAGGAAGGUGGGGAUGACGUCAAAUCAUCAUGCCCCUUAUGAUUUGGGCUACACACGUGCUACAAUGGACAAUACAAAGGGCAGCGAAACCGCGAGGUCAAGCAAAUCCCAUAAAGUUGUUCUCAGUUCGGAUUGUAGUCUGCAACUCGACUACAUGAAGCUGGAAUCGCUAGUAAUCGUAGAUCAGCAUGCUACGGUGAAUACGUUCCCGGGUCU